UGAUUCCCUUAUGGAUUGCUGAAAAUUUUGUAGAAUGGAGAGAAGGAAUGAGUAUUGAAGAUGUAGCCUGGGGUUAUCUCGGUGAACUCAUCAGAAGAAGCCUAAUUCAAGUGACUCGAGUGUUUUAUGAAGGAUCACCCGUCACGUGUCAAAUCCAUGACCUAUUGAGAGAAGUUAUUCUCAUCAAGUCAAGGGAACAAAACAUGGUGACAAUUACUACUGGACAACCAAUGACGUGGCCAUCUGAGAAGGUACGCCGUCUAGUAGUCCAUAGUAGUAGUAACAGUAGCAACAUCCAACAUCACCAACAAAGACAAUUUUAUUCCUUUGAACACCUUCGAUCAUUCAUCACAGUUAGGUCCACCAACCCAUUACUAUCCAAAAUUUUCUUAUCUGAAGUUCUAAGGAGUAGCAAGUUGCUAAAGGUUUUGGAAUUGGUAGGUCAAGAGAUAGAGGAAACACCAAAUGAGAUUUUCAACUUGUUGCAUCUCACAUACCUGAGCCUAUUUGGUACAAAAGUGGCAAGAGUCCCAAGAACCAUUGGAAAGCUUCAACAUUUGGAAUAUCUGAAUUUGGGGAACACUGGAGUUAGGGAAUUACCCGUGGAAAUCCUAAAGCUGCAAAAGCUUCGGCAUCUCAUAGUAUUCCAACGAGUUGAUCCCUCAGAUAGUGAUUAUGGAUUUCAUGGGUUUAAAGGUCCGUCAAAGUUGGGAGGGCUUCUCGCUUUACAAAGGUUAGACACCAUAGAUGCAAGCAGUGGGUCUGUAAUAGUUAAAGAGAUAGGAAAAUUGACCCAAUUAAGAGAGUUAUAUAUUACACAGUUGAGAAGAGAAGAUGGAAAGGAGCUCUGCUCCUCCCUUGUCAACCUCACCAGCCUUCGGGAAUUAAGCAUUGAAUCAAUUGGAAAAGGUGAUGAUUCUGAGAUAAUAGAUCUAAAUGAUCAUCAACAUUCUCUUUCUUCUUCUUCUUCUUGUUCGUUUCUUCAAUCUCUUCGUAUGCUAAUUAUGUGUGGCCGCUUAGAAACGAUGCCAGUGUGGAUAACUCAUCUUCAAAACUUGGUAAAAAUAUUUAUGAACUGGAGCGGGUUAAGGGCUGAGGAAGAUCCACUUGAAUCCCUCCAACAUUUGCCCAAUUUGGGUGAAAUUGGUUUCUGUGGAUCUUACCAGGGAGAAGGGUUGUGUUUCAAGGCUGGAGGGUUCCUAAAGAUGAAACAGUUGUGGCUAAGGAGAAUGGAAGGAUUAAGAAGGAUAACAAUCGAGGAGGGUGCAUGCCCUUAUCUCCAAAGACUAAUUCUGAAACAGCUUCCAUUACUAGAGGACUUACCUUGCGGUAUUCAGCACUUGAGCCAUCUUCAACGGCUGUCUUUGUAUGAGAUGAGUUCUCGAAUGAUGGAAAAGGUCGAGAAUCAGAAGGAAGACAGUGAAGAUUACAGAAGAAUGGCACACAUUCCUGAAAUUGUCAUUGGUUUCUAUGCCAAUGAUGGGAAAUGGAGAAUCCGCCGGCUAUGGGGGAAGAAGAAGAAAACAUUCCUUGCCUAGCACUAGCAGCAUCCUGUGGCUUUCCUUUCUCAUUGUUUGCUUUCCCUCCCUGUUGUUGACGAUCCUGCUCUCUCUUGUUCUUCUAUUUUUCUGAGAAGUUUCUGAUGUUUUCUAUCUUCUCCACUACGCGUAGUAUGGUGCAUUGCAUCAUCAUCUUGUUCAUAUGCUGCUUUUUUUUAAUGUAUUUUUUUAACUGUUUUUCUUGAAUUUUAACUUCCCCAAAUAAGCGCUUGUGAGAUCAUGAGAUUGCAAUGGCUAUAGCAUUGUGCGAAAUUUGAGAAUGACAAUCUUCUUUUUACUCUUCAAUUUUAGAUAACAAAGGGGUCUGAGACUUUUACUCUUCUUUUUACUCUUCAAUCUUCUUUUUACUCUUCUUUUUACUCCUCAACUUCUAGCUGCAUAUGUAAGAGAAAAAAAAUACUAAACAAAUAAAGGGUGACUCACCAAAGAGUUGAAGGCCAAAAUGCAAAUCCAUCCAUCAUACUACACGAAUAACUUGCCACGAAAUCAUGGUGUUUAUUUCUCAAUCCAAAAAUAUGUAGCUUUCUAGAUCCAUUUUUCCAAACCAGAUAGAGAAAAAUAAAAAAUGGAUCAGAUUUUCCUUGAAAAUCUAAGGCCUUGCUUGGAUUGCUGUUUUCCGUAGAAAAAUUUCAUCAUUUUCCGUGAACACAUUUCCCUAUUACCUUUUUUUCUCACAUACAUCAAAUCGCUACAGUAUUUUUUCCAUGAAAAAUGACGGAAAAUGCAAUCCAAACGGGACCUAAAUACUCUAUAUGAUGAUCAAAUAGCUAAAUAUCCUUCUAUUUCUGUCCUAAAGUGUGAUACUAGUAACAAAAAAUUAAAUGGCAUUCUCGUCAUUUUGCCCUCAACGAAAGCUAUCCUCUUUCUCUGGAAUGCCUAGAACCCCUGCACCCUUUCUUUCUCUGGAAGCUCUAACUAGUUCAUUUUGUAAGCAACAUAACUGAUUCACCACCAAUGGGUAUUUUUUCAUGGUUCAAGGGAACCAAAAACGAUACCAACUCCAAACCGGCGACCCAAAAAUCCGAACCGGUGAAAACCCAAUCCGCUUCUGAAGUUCCCGGCAUGAACGGAGCAGUGGAGGUCCGGCGGCCUGGCCCACCACCAGCUGAUAUCACCGUUUUCGAAUUCGGUUCCAUUGCCGCUUCUGCCGAUAAGGUCACCCUCGCCGGCUUCUGCCCUGUUUCUGACGAGCUCGAACCUUGCCGCUGGGAGAUUCUGCCGGCUCAAGGCUCCGACGCCCCUCAAUUUCGCGUAGUCUUUUGACGGAAAAAUAGUUGGCGAAAAAGAAAGGGAGAAUUUUCAGCUUAGCUUUUGAGGAAAUGGUGAGGAGGAGUAAAAUCCCAAUCCUGAGUAGAGUUUCUUCAGUUCAUAUGGGGUUUUUUCUAUAUUAAAAAAACAAAAAAGCUUGUAUCUUUUUUCCUCUUUCAUUUUUGAAGUUUCUCUGUAAUUUAGCUCUGUUUGGCACUUUGAUUAGAAUAUGAUAAAGACCUUUACUGCACUCGUUUUUCCCUUUUUUUUGGUUGGGUCCAAAUUUGGGUACUAUUGGCUUGAAAACAUGAGGAGGAAGAGGAAAGAAGUAAUUUGUUGUGAUAGAUUGGUUAUUGCGUUGUUGGAUGAUAGAUGCACAUUGUCUUCUGUUUCCUGCAAUUUGCUGUAGAAUUAUUAUGGAAAAGGGCGCCCUUGAAGCCCUAAUCAAUAAAGGGUUCAGGUUUUUAGGCCAAAUGUGAAGGGCAUUUGGACUGACGUUUGUACAAAAUGUACCAGUAUGUGUACACGAAAAUACAUUUCACGCGUGAAGGCCUUCUAUAGAUUGCCGAACAUUGUGCUUUCUUUAUCAAAUAAGGUUCCAAGCAUGCCCUGUUCUUGAAAUUUUCCCUGUUAUUAACUGGACUUGAUAGAGUGGAGAAGCUGUAGAUUUGUUGGAGUCCUUUUAUCUUGUUUUACAAGGUAAGAACUCGGCUUUUCUUUGCUUAAGAGUGUUUCAAGUAGUUUAGAUCUGCUCUGUGUUUGUGUCUGUGAUUGCACUGGCAGGGUUGCGAGGGGGGUGGAGGAUGGGGAGUGUAUGUGUUCGUGUAUUGUGUAUGUAACUAUAUAACUAUGUAUAUGUCAAUAAGGAUGAGCUUGUAUGAAUUGGUGUACCAUGUAGAGCAUUUAUCAGGUCAUGAUGAAAUAUAUGUGGGCAAAGAAAGCUUUGAGCCUAAACUCUUCAUGCUUUUUAAGCUGCUUUUACAUUUGCUUGGUUUGUUUGUCAAAUAAAAUUGAAGCAAUUGCAUUCAUUUUUUACGUUUGACUCUAUGAUUUGGAUUCUAUAUUGUGAGGGAAGGGAGACUUUAGAAGCUUUUGGUUAAUGGUAAGUACCAAGUAGAAGUUUUCAAGGACUGAUUUGAAAAGUAGAAUGGAUGACAACAAUACAUGUUUGCCAGCUAUUAAGGAAAAAAAAAAAGGCAUAGAGGGUGUGUAGUUGCCUGUUUCUUUGGAAAAUUCAGCUAUGGAACAACGCAUAGAGGGCGUGAUAAUUACAACAUUAAGUUUUCAGAUUUUAUUUGGUUUGUCAAUCAUGUUUUGCCCCCUUCUUCUUCUUCUUCUUCUUCUUUCUUUGGCAAACUUAUGAUUGCAAGUGUUUAUUGGAUUGCUUAAUGACGAAUGAACCAUUGUUAUCACAGAAAAGAACUACAAGGGCAAUAUUGCUAGGUUUCACCAUAUGGUGGAAUGUGAUGAAAAGUAUGUACUUUCCCCAAACACUUUUUUUAAUGAUAGCGGGAAUGCAGCUGUUUUACUUUUUGUGGUUAAAGUGGAUUAAAUGGCAUUUGCGCCUACAAAUUCAUAGUUCAAAUUUGCUGCAACUGAUUGUAGAUACUUUAAAACAUUAUCGUGACAAAAAGUGUAGGCUCAUGAAGAUAUGCAGUGUUUGCUAUCUUCUUGGUGUCAUUGUAGUUACAUGAUGGUUCAUGAAGAUACGUAUUCUCAAUAUUCAGCUAAACUUGGUUGAAACAGAAAAAAGAAAUAGGAUAAAGAGGACGCAGUUCAAUCCUUAUUUGUUAAAGGAUCUUUUUGCUUGUAAUGUUCUUGGUGGAACCAAAACAUUGAAAGUUUUCCAUGCUUUGUCUUGGCUCCCAAUGAACACUGAUGUGUUUGUAAUACAACAUUCUGGUCAACUUCUGUUCCAUGUUUUACAAAUUGCCUGCCUUCAGGAGUAUCUUUGAUAUUAUGGCUUGUUCCUUCAGAAAUUCUGCAACCUUGUACAUUUGACACUGACAGCAAGUGUGGCAUCUGAUGCGGUAUUAUUACUGCAAGCAGACAAUGCAAUCGUAUAAUCGUCAGACACUAACGAAAGUUGUUGUACCAUUAUGAGAAGGCAUCGAUGUAUCAAAAUUAAUUAAUUCUGAACUACAAAGGGCCUCUUGGAUAGUUUGCAGAGCAGUGCAGAUACUCAUCUUUUGAGACAACAUGCUUAACUGUUAAUCUGGUUUCCACAUUAAAUAUGCCCAAAAGAGCAAGUUGCACGAAACUAGAUUCCUAUUUUAUCAAAAUGGCAGGAAAAUUCCAAGAUAUCACAGUCAUAUGAAGAAGGCAAUUAUCAAGAAUAGGUAAUCGACAUCGUGCCAUAUAUCCCACAUUCUAGUACCUGUUAGCAUCGGCCACCAAUUGUUUUACAAAGCGAUAAUAAGAAGCAAUGACCAUGAAAUAAAGGCCACAAGGCAUCUUGCAACUUCCUUAUCAUAGAACACGUAAUAGAUAUAAUUAUAUAACUAACGCUGCAAUCAAUACUAAACUUACCAAUAUCUGCAAUACAAUCCCCCCUGACUUUGUGAUAUUAAUUGGUUUUUGAUUGAGUUAAAAAAGAAACUUAUAAUUUUCCCCAUGCAGUUGAAAAAGAUAGCUGCAAAGAUGAUAUAAAUGAGACAUUGAAUUAAUUGACAAAGUGGAGGGCAUAGAAAUAAGCCACGUCAUGAUUGAGUGGUACAGCUAUUCCAACAAAUUUGUAAUCCUUAAAUGUAAAGAAAAUUGAUUAUUUUUAAUUUACUCCUUACCAUUUUCUGCAAUUCCUUUUUUUUUUUUUUUUUUGCUAAAUUUGCACGCUGUUCAUUGACCUCUUAAAUUAAUACAGUUCACAUUUCUUUGAUAUUACAAAUACUAAUUGGUCAGCAGAAAUUAGUUCCAUAGAGUAAGGUUUUUUAUUUCUUCGUCAAUGAAAUCAAUAAUGUCCUUCCCCUCGUAAAGAACCCACAGUCUUUUUUUUUUAUUAUUAUUUGUCAUCAUUUACGUCUACACCUACUCUUAGUUCUAAUCUAACCUAUACAAGGGGAGGUAACCCAACAGGGUCACAGGGAACCGAUGGGGACUAAAUCACCAUCGGACCAUACGAGUGCAAAGCACCCACAUGAAUCUUAAGCACAGCCACAUUAGGUGGCCACCUAUGAUAGAAGGCAAAGGUUGAACUCUUAACCUCCCACCCCACACUAAAAGUGAUGGUCAAUUCCACUAAAGCGAGCUGUUUAAAAAACCCACAAUCGAACGAUGCUCCUUUUUAUCUUUAUCCGACCCACGGUUGAAAGAAGGUCCCGAAGACAUGUGCACAGUCUUCUUAAUAGCUUCCAUGAUUUUAUAUUGUGGGAGGUAAGGCAGCUUCGUCCCACCCCCUCCCCUCUCCCCGUCCCCGUUUCCAUCCUGCUUUCCUGACGGGCUAAUAAAAAUUUAUUAUAUAAUUUUAUUAUAAUUAAAUUUUAAUAAAUAAUUAAGUAUUAAAAUAUCAAUACAUUACUAAAUUAUUAUUCAUUAUAAUUUUACAAUUGAAACUUAUAAAAAUAAUCAAACAAAAAUUAGUGAAUACAAUCCAAUAUGAUGAAAUAAAUACAAUUAAAGUAGUUAAAUUUUUACUUUUGAUAGAAAUACAAUCACUAAUUCAUUAUUUUACUUGUGCUUUUUUUUGAGUAAGUAUAAUUAGAGAUUUAGUAUAAAUGUAUUAGUAAAUUUAAUAUAACUAAUUAAUAAUUUCUAUUAGUAUAUAUAUUAGUAAUAUAACUGAUAAUUAUAUUAUAUAAUACAUAUAACUAAUAAUAUCAUUAUCAUAAGUUUAUAACUAAUUAAAUUAAAUAUUUUAUAUAUAAUUAUAUGCACAUAUAUAUUUAUUUUUUUUAAACGGAUUCCGGGGCGGGGUAGCCUCCUGCGGGCCAUCCUGUUGCCAUCCUUAGUCUUGAGUUGCUUUUUCUGUUCCACUCCGAAGAAAUUCACUUUCCUCUGCAUCACAUGUUCCUGGAAAACUCAUAGCUGGCUUCCAGUUGAUUCGGAACUGUCAAUUUUCUUUUGGGGUGGGGUUUUCUUCUCAUUCUCUUGUGCUCUUUCCACUUUAACUACUCAAACACGCGUUCAAGUCUAUACUGUAAAUUUCGUCUACACCGCGUUGGACUGGUUUGUUCCUUGAUAUUCCAUCCGUUUUUAUUACAAACUAGUUGGUCCAAAGGGUCAAAAGAAAAAAAAAAAAAGCAGAAAUUAGUUCCAUAGAAGGAGGAGCUUAUAUAUGUCAUAAUGUCAGCAGAAGGGGCAAAACAUUUUGCAGCAGUUUUAUUUCUUCGUCAAAGAAAUCAAUAAUGUCCAGUCCAACCGCGUUUUAACCUGGAAUUUCUACUUGUAAAGAAGGACCACAGUUGAACGGUGCUCCUUUGUUAUUAUCCGACCAAAGGACCCACAGUUGAAAGAAGCUCCUGAAGACAUGUGCAAACAGAAAUGAGUCUUCUUAAUAGCUUCCAUGAUUUUGUAUUGUGGCAGGUAAGGCAGCUUCGUCUUUCACAAUCAGAUGUUUCUUGCUUUAGUUUCUUCUAAUUGGUUAAUUCUUUCUUUUUCUGUUUAACGCGGCUUUUCUUUUUGAUAAAUACUGGACCGAAGAACAUCAGCUUAUUAAUCUAUAACUUCCUCUUCCUUCUUCCUUUCAAGAUAUUACAACUGGACUGUCCAAUCCUAUAAACCAGAAGCCGCCUUCCCCUACAUUCUGUUUUGUGUCAGAAAUGGCAGAAACUGUUGUCUCUUUUGUGUCAGAUCAUCUCGCAACCUUACUCCGAGAGGAGGGAAGCCUAUUGGGAGGGCUUCGACAGGAGGUCCAACUCAUCAGGGAUGAGUUGGGGCAUAUGAAAGCUUUCCUCAAAGUGGCUGAAGCAAAAGAAGAAGAAGAUCCCAGGCUCCAAGAAUGGAUCAAGCAAGUGCGCGAAGCUGCUUAUGACAUUGAAGAUGUUCUCGAUGAAUUUGUACUUCGCUUUGCUGGCUACCGACAUCAUGGAUUCUGUGGCUCUCUGCAGAGAAUUCUCAAAGCCAUUAAGAGCUUGCGAGCUCGUCAUCAGGUUGCCAGUGAAAUUCAAAGCAUAAAGUCCAGGAUCAAAAAUAUUUCAGAAGGACGUCAGAGAUACCAAGUUGAAUUUGGGAUCAAUGACCGUGUCACUGGAUCUUCAACCAUGAACGACUCAUGGCGCUAUAGCAGAGAUGACGCACUUCUAGUGGAGGAAGCAAAAUUGGUUGGCAUUGACCAGCCCAAACAACAUCUGAUUUCAAAGCUUCUCGAGGGGCACGAUCACCAACUCAAAGUUGUUUCAGUGGUUGGAAUGGGAGGACUCGGCAAAACUACCCUAGUCAAAAAGGUCCAUGAAGAUCCAGAUGUUAGAAAGAAUUUCCCAGUUCGUGCCUGGGUAACCGUCUCUCAAACAUGCGACUUUCCAAAGCUCCUGAGAGACUUGAUUUGGCAGUUGCACAAGGAAUUGAACAAAUCAGUCCCACAAUUCAUCGAAUCUAUAUCUACCGCUGAGCUGAAAGAAUUUGUCAAAGAUUUUCUUCAACAAGUUGGAAGGUAUGCAAUUGUCUUCGAUGACGUGUGGGACGUGGAAUUUUGGAAUGAAAUCAAAUUUGCACUGCCUGAGGGUAACUACGGCAAUCGUGUAAUGCUGACAACACGAAAAGCCGAUGUAGCCUUUGCCUCUUGCACAGAAUCUCAGGAUUUUGUCUACAAAAUGGAGCCACUAUCAAUUGAAGAUUCGUGGACCCUAUUUUGUAACAAGAUCUUUAAAGGAAAUCGUUGCCCCACCCACCUGAUGGAUGUUGCAAAAGCUGUAUUGGAUAAAUGUGACGGUUUGCCUUUGGCGAUUGUUACGAUUGGUGGGCUCUUGGCUUCGAAGGACGCGAGCAGAAUAGAUGAAUGGGAGAAGAUUCAACAGAGUCUUGGGGGUGAAUUCACCGGUAAGCUAGAGAGAGUUAAAAGGAUACUUUCUCUGAGUUACAAUGAUCUGCCUUCGCACCUCAAACCCUGUCUGUUGUAUUUAACCAUUUAUCCGGAGGAUUAUCCAAUAAACUGCCAUAUGCUGAUUCAAUUAUGGAUUGCUGAAAGAUUUGUAGAAUGGAGAGAAGGAAUGAGUAUUGAAGAUGUAGCCUGGGGUUAUCUCAGAGAACUCAUCAGCAGAAGCCUAAUUCAAGCAACUAAAGUGUUUUAUGAAGGAACGCCCCACACGUGUCGAAUCCAUGACCUAUUGAGAGAAGUUAUUCUCAUCAAGUCAAGGGAACAAAACAUGGUGACAGUUACUACUGGACAACCAAUGACGUGGCCAUCUGAGAAGGUACGCCGUCUAGCAAUCCAUAGUAGUAGUAACAGUAGCAACAUCCAAUACCACCAACAAAGACAAUUUUAUUCCUUUGAACACCUUCGAUCAUUCAUCACAGUUAGUUCCACCAACCCAUUACUAUCCAAAACUUUCCUAUCUGAAGUUCUAAGGAGUAGCAAGUUGCUAAAGGUUCUAGAUUUGACUAAUGAAGAGAUAGAGGCAACACCAAAUGAGAUUUUCAACUUGUUGCAUCUCACAUAUCUGAGUCUAUAUGGUACAAAAGUGGAAAGAGUCCCGAGAGCUAUUGGAAAGCUUCUACAUUUGGAAUAUCUGAAUUUGGGGUACACUGGAGUUAGGGAAUUACCCGUGGAAAUCCUAAAGCUGCAAAAGCUUCGACAUCUCUUUGUAUUCCAUCCAGUUGAUCCCUCAAAUGAUGAUUAUGGAUUUCAUGGGUUUAAAGGUCCGUCAAAAUUGGGAGGGCUUCUGGCUCUACAAAUAUUAAACACCAUAGAUGCAAGUAGUGGGUCUGUAAUAGUUAAAGAGAUAGGAAAAUUGACCCAAUUAAGAGAGUUAGCUAUUACACAGUUGAGAAGAGAAGAUGGAAAGGAGCUCUGCUCCUCCCUUGUCAACCUCACCAGUCUUCGGGAAUUAAGUGUUGAUUCAGUUG
RNAcentral lists this long non-coding RNA (9803 nucleotides) under Coffea arabica (coffee). Its description in RNAcentral is "long non-coding RNA (CARA_LNC005529)". The record is from RNAcentral. Lineage: Eukaryota; Viridiplantae; Streptophyta; Magnoliopsida; Gentianales; Rubiaceae.